Callithrix jacchus (white-tufted-ear marmoset) is the source of this 148-nucleotide unclassified non-coding RNA. It matches the Rfam family "Metazoan signal recognition particle RNA". From Rfam's summary of the family: The signal recognition particle (SRP) is a universally conserved ribonucleoprotein. Lineage: Eukaryota; Metazoa; Chordata; Mammalia; Primates; Cebidae. The record is from Ensembl.
GCCAGGUGCGGUGGCUCGCGCCUGUAAUCCCAGCUACCUGGGAGGCUGAGGCAGGAGAAUCACUUGAAUCCGGGAGGCAGAGGUUGUGGUGAGCCGAGAUCAUGCCACUGCACUCUAGCCUGGCUGACAGAGUGAGACUCUGUCUCAA